This 397-nucleotide ribosomal RNA is filed under the name uncultured bacterium. Its description in RNAcentral is "partial 16S ribosomal RNA". It matches the Rfam family "Bacterial small subunit ribosomal RNA", at positions 523 to 918 of the family's 1533-position model. The record is from RNAcentral.
AUACGUAGGGGGCGAGCGUUGUCCGGAAUGAUUGGGCGUAAAGGGCGCGUAGGCGGCCCGGUAAGUCUGGAGUGAAAGUCCUGUUUUUAAGAUGGGAAUUGCUUUGGAUACUGUCGGGCUUGCGUGCCGGAGAGGUAAGUGGAAUUCCCAGUGUAGCGGUGAAAUGCGUAGAGAUUGGGAGGAACACCAGUGGCGAAGGCGACUUACUGGACUGUAACUGACGCUGAGGCGCGAAAGUGUGGGGAGCAAACAGGAUUAGAUACCCUGGUAGUCCACACUGUAAACGAUGAAUGCUAGGUGUAGGGGGUAUCGACCCCUUCUGUGCCGCAGUCAACACAAUAAGCAUUCCGCCUGGGGAGUACGGCCGCAAGGUUGAAACUCAAAGGAAUUGACGGGG